ACGCUCGACACCUACGGGAGGCAGCAGGUGGGGAAUAUUGCACAAGUGGGGGAAACCCUGAUGCAGCAACGCCGCGUGAAGGAAGACGGUUUUCGGAUUGUAAACUUCUGUUCUUAGUGAAGAUAGUGACGGUAGCUAAGGAGCAAGCCACGGCUAACUACGUGCCAACAGCAGCGGUAAUCUGAGCGGGCUGGCAAGGC
RNAcentral lists this ribosomal RNA (200 nucleotides) under uncultured bacterium. Its description in RNAcentral is "partial 16S ribosomal RNA". It matches the Rfam family "Bacterial small subunit ribosomal RNA", at positions 328 to 539 of the family's 1533-position model. The record is from RNAcentral.